CGGGACGGGUGAGUAAUGUCUGGGAAACUGCCUGAUGGAGGGGGAUAACUACUGGAAACGGUAGCUAAUACCGCAUAACGUCUUCGGACCAAAGUGGGGGACCUUCGGGCCUCACGCCAUCGGAUGUGCCCAGAUGGGAUUAGCUAGUAGGUGGGGUAAUGGCCCACCUAGGCGACGAUCCCUAGCUGGUCUGAGAGGAUGACCAGCCACACUGGAACUGAGACACGGUCCAG
This 233-nucleotide ribosomal RNA is filed under the name uncultured bacterium. Its description in RNAcentral is "partial 16S ribosomal RNA". It matches the Rfam family "Bacterial small subunit ribosomal RNA", at positions 100 to 334 of the family's 1533-position model. The record is from RNAcentral.